GUGGUUUUAAGGGGGAGCUGAGCGGGGCAAAGCUCGGCUGAGAGUAGGCACUAAAAAAUCCCCGUGCCUUGACCCUUUGAACCUGAUCCGGGUAAUGCCGGCGAAGGGAGGAAAAGUGCAAAAAAU
Molecule: non-coding RNA, 126 nt
Filed under: Caldicellulosiruptor saccharolyticus
Lineage: Bacteria; Bacillati; Bacillota; Caldicellulosiruptorales; Caldicellulosiruptoraceae
Description: TPP sequence
Rfam family: TPP riboswitch aptamer (THI element)
About the family: Vitamin B(1) in its active form thiamin pyrophosphate (TPP) is an essential coenzyme that is synthesised by coupling of pyrimidine and thiazole moieties in bacteria.
Source: RNAcentral